CGAGCACGCGCGUGUGGCAUAUCAAUAAGCGGAGGAAAAGAAACUAACAAGGAUUCCCUUAGUAACGGCGAGUGAAGCGGGAAGAGCUCAAAUUUGAAAUCUUCAAGGUUCUACCUUGACGAAUUGUAGUUUAUAGAAGUGUUUUCUGUUAGUAGAGUGGCAAAAGUUCUUUGGAAUAGGACAUCAUAGAGGGUGAGAAUCCCGUAUUUGGUCAUUCUUUCUAGCUUUGUGAUACACUUUCAAAGAGUCGGAUUGUUUGGGAAUGCAGUCCAAAAUGGGUGGUAAGUUUCAUCUAAAGCUAAAUAUUGGCGAGAGACCGAUAGCGAACAAGUACCGUGAGGGAAAGAUGAAAAGAACUUUGAAAAGAGAGUUAAACAGUACGUGAAAUUGUCAAAAGGGAAGCGUUUGACACCAGUGUUGUUUAGUUGAAAAUCAAUUAAAUAUUUUUCGAUUUUAAGUAGUAUUGACCUUAUCAGCUUGCUGCUUUUUCUCGGAAAUUAUUUAAUGCACUUUUCAGUUAACAAGUCAACAUCAAUUUCUUUUGUUGUAAAAAGGUAAGAGGAAGGUGGCUUGCGCUUCGGCUCAAGUGUUUAUAGCCUUUUACCCCUGCAAUCGGAGAGAUUGAGGUCUGUAGCGUAGAUCCUUCGGGGUUAGAUACAUUUGUGCUAAGCUAUAGCCUUGUAGUAGACAACUUGUUGACUAUGCUCAGUCAUGUAGCUUACUCGCAGUAUGCUAUUUUACCUACGCUUAGGAUGUUGAUGUGAUACUGCGAGCA
This 775-nucleotide ribosomal RNA is filed under the name uncultured Neocallimastigales. RNAcentral describes it as "partial large subunit ribosomal RNA". It matches the Rfam family "Eukaryotic large subunit ribosomal RNA", at positions 19 to 646 of the family's 3401-position model. Lineage: Eukaryota; Fungi; Neocallimastigomycota; Neocallimastigomycetes; Neocallimastigales. The record is from RNAcentral.